AUGCACCGAUCCCUUUUUGUGAAAAUUGUUCAAGCUUGCGAGGCAAAUUGCCAGUAUUUUACUCAAAGAAGAAAUGUUGCGGUCUUAAAGAGAUUUAGUGCAUAUCAGAAAAUCUCCGCAGCUAUGCGGGUGAUUGCAUAUGGCGUUCCGGCUGACUAUGCCAAUGAGUACCUUCGCAUUGGUGAAGAUACUACGAUUGAGUCAGUGCAUAGAUUUGCAAAAGUGAUCAUCCGUGUCUUUGGUACUGAGUAUCUUCGGGCACCCAACAAGGAUGACACAAAGAAAUUGAUGGCAUCUAAUGAAAGGAGAGGCUGGCCUGGCAUGCUAGGUAGCAUUGAUUCGGUCUCAUUUGUUUGCUAG
RNAcentral lists this ribosomal RNA (360 nucleotides) under Triticum aestivum (bread wheat). RNAcentral's name for it is "partial small subunit ribosomal RNA". Lineage: Eukaryota; Viridiplantae; Streptophyta; Magnoliopsida; Poales; Poaceae. The record is from RNAcentral.